RNA transcript from Armigeres subalbatus, 1836 nucleotides. RefSeq lists it as uncharacterized. The transcript has 6 exons. NCBI's taxonomy places the organism in Eukaryota, Metazoa, Arthropoda, Insecta, Diptera, Culicidae. The record is from RefSeq and is a predicted model, not a curated record.
AGAGUGAGAAAUGAUAUCGUAAACUCGACGCAAAGAACGGGAAUCAAGAAUCGUCGCCGGUUGUAUGGUGUUUUGUUCUGUUGGAGAAUAUCGCAGCAUUCGUCGACGGUCAUAUCCGGGCAAAGCCCGGAUGUAAUACAUCUCGCAUUCGUUGAAAAAAGUGAUCAAAAGCAUAUAGGACGAAGCCCUCGGGAAGAUUAUAAAUACCUUUGCAAAAAGUUUUGUUUCUUUAGUGAAUUUACUGUAAAGUGGCAGAGAGAGGGCUACAAGUUUGUGCGUGUGUGCAUUUUUAUCGCAGCAAAGUUGUUCCGCCGGCGAUCGUUUCCAGUAUCAAGCAGGGAUGCCAGAUACAUUUUUAAUAAGCCGUGUCAGUGAAAAACAAAAAAAAAGAAAGUUUAUUCAUUUGGCGAGAAAAGGAUGUAACCUUGCUCAAUGGUGACAGUUCCGAAUCCAGCUUCCAGUGUAAACAAAAGUGACAGUCGGUUCUUCUAGUGCAGGCGGACUGUUGAAGAGUAUUUUUUCAAUUUGUUUUCGUUCCGGUUACGGCAGAGAAGAGUGUACCAUCGUAGAAAAACACACCCAUAAGUACCUACCUAAGUAACUUCACAGAAAAGGCAGUGUGUGAGAAAGUGGCCUGCAGAACCAUCGACAACAAUCAGGACCAUGAUGCCCACCUUGUGUCCGUCCAGCGUGCCAUGGAUCGUUCUAAAUCGUGAACACAAGUUUGGAAGCAGGUAUACCGAGUACGGGAACAGCGUGCAAUAGUUGAGUUGUUGGGUUCAGAGCAGAAGCACUAACAGUAGCAGUAGCUAUCGUGUUGUCAGCGGAAAGAAUUUCUCUAAUCGAACAGUUGAAAGAGUAGCUGCAUCGACGUCGGACGGCACAACAAAAACUAACCACAACAACAGCAGCAGACACAAUAAGGUCAACCACCACAUAUAAGUGAAUCUUCCUGAAUCACCGCAAAGGAAGCUUUUUUGUUGUUCCUUAAAAGAUAAAGCGUCGCCAAUCCGGAAGAAAAGGAACAUAGAAGUAUUAAACCAGAAGACACGUUUCAGAACCAGGAAAAAAAACUUGCAUUGUUCUUUGAAGAAUCGAGCGUCGCUUAGCCACAGACGUAGAUAAAAUAAAAGCAUCUGCAACAUAACGCUGUGUGAUAAGAGAACUCUUCGAAUAUGUCAAUUGGGACAGGCUACGAGAAGGCGGACUCUAGAAACCUGCCGUCAAUAAUGGAAGAUACUGUGAUUAAUUUUUUCACAUCAAAUCCAAAUUUCGUGACUUCAGAAUCUAGACAAGUGAAGAUGCAAAGAUCUGGUAGAAAGAAUUACGGCGAUAUGGCAGUUGGGUUUGUAAAACUUCAGCGGUUUGGAGAAAAAUGCAGAAUUAUAGCGAGUGUGGUUCCAGAGCAUAGAGUAAAUCAACGCUCGUAUGAAGUAUCACUAGUCAUUAAUGAAGCAAAUGAAUUGAUAGAAGAUUUCUCCUGUGAAUGUGAGGCCAACAUGGGUGGCUGCAAGCAUGUUUCGGUUUUCAUAUUUUGGAUUUUUCGGAGAAAUGAAACACCAGCUUCCACAGAGGUAGAAUGUUACUGGAAUGCAGCCCCAAUGACAGCAGCAGCUCGGAAAAAAGGUGUACUAUGGGCAAAUGAAAUAGUAUUUUCAAAGAAUACUCCAAGUACCCUUGAUAAUGACCAAGAAAACGAGGAUGGUACAGAUCGAGUUUUAAAGAAACAAAUUGAUCCUUUAAAAAAUCUAGAUAUUACCACAGAUAACAGAUAUUUAAGCUAGAACAAAUUUUAUUGAAAAUCCUGUGUAAACUUUUGAAUUGAUAUACGUUGGC